Molecule: non-coding RNA, 4195 nt
Organism: Rattus norvegicus (Norway rat)
Lineage: Eukaryota; Metazoa; Chordata; Mammalia; Rodentia; Muridae
Source: RefSeq, a predicted model, not a curated record
UGUCUCUGAGGCCACACAUUCAGACAUUCAGUAGUGUGACCCUUCUGGGAACCCUUCAGCCUUGGGGACAGUGAGGAAAAGUCACCCUUUAUAAUAGGAAUCAGACACCAGCCAUUUGAAUGUCUACUAAGGUGUUUGCCAAGAUUGGAAUGUCACAUGGCACACCAGCAACCCUGACUUUACCAAGUGCUUUCAGAAUACGGUCCUCACAUGGGUGCCUUGUUUCUACCUCUGGUCCUGUUUCCCCCUCUACUUCCUCUAUCUCUCUCGACAUGACCGGGGCUACAUCCAGAUGACACACCUCAACAAAGCCAAAACUGCCUUAGGAUUCUUUCUGUGGAUCAUCUGCUGGGCAGACCUCUUCUACUCUUUCUGGGAAAGAAGUCAGGGAAUGCUCCUAGCCCUGGUACUACUGGUCAGCCCGACACUGCUAGGCAUCACCAUGCUGCUCGCCACCUUUUUAAUUCAGUUUGAGCGAAGGAAAGGAGUCCAGUCCUCAGGGAUAAUGCUUACUUUCUGGCUUGUAGCCCUACUCUGCGCCCUUGCCAUCUUGAGAUCUAAGAUCAUCUCUGCCUUAAAAAAGGAUGCUCAAGUGGACAUGUUUCGAGAUUCUGCAUUCUAUCUGUACUUCACCCUCAUGUUCAUUCAGCUCGUGCUGUCCUGCUUCUCAGACAGCUCACCCUUGUUCUCUGAAACUGUCCGUGACCCGGGCUCUGUGGCCUAUGUGCCCCAGCAGGCAUGGAUUCAGAAUGACUCUCUCCGAGAGAACAUACUGUUUGGGCGCCCCCUGCAGGAACAUUGCUACAAGGCGGUGAUGGAAGCCUGUGCCCUCCUUCUGGAUUUGGAAAUCCUUCCCAGUGGGGACCUCACAGAGAUUGGUGAGAAGGGUGUGAACCUGUCGGGGGGCCAGAAGCAGCGUGUGAGCCUGGCUCGGGCUGUGUAUUGUAACUCUGACAUCUACCUCUUGGACGACCCCCUCUCGGCUGUGGAUGCACAUGUUGGGAAGCACAUCUUUGAGAAGGUGGUGGGUCCCAUGGGCCUACUGAAGAACAAGACACGGAUCCUGGUCACCCAUGGUAUCAGCUACCUGCCCCAAGUGGAUGUCAUCAUUGUCAUGAGUGGCAGCAAGAUCUCAGAGAUGGGAUCUUAUCAGGAGCUGCUAGACCGGGAUGGGGCCUUUGCUGAGUUCGUGCGCACCUAUGCCAACACUGAGCAGGACCUGGCUUCAGAGGAUGACAGUAAGAAUGGUGUCAGUGGUUUAGGGAAGGAGUCAAAGCCGGUGGAAAAUGGAUACUGGUGACAGACGCAGUAGGGAAGCCCCUGCAGAGGCAUCUCAGCAACUCUUCUUCCCACAGUGUGGUUACUAACCAGCAGCACAGCAGCACAGCCGAGCUGCAGAAGUCUGGAGUUAAGGAGGAGACUUGGAAGCUGAUGGAAGCAGACAAGGCCCAGACAGGGCAGGUGAAGCUUUCCGUGUACUGGAACUACAUGAAGGCCAUUGGCCUCUGCAUCUCCUUCUUGAGUAUCUUCCUUUUCCUGUGCAAUCAUGUAUCUGCACUGGCUUCUAACUAUUGGCUGAGUCUCUGGACAGAUGACCGCCCUGCUGUCAAUGGGACUCAGGAGAACAGGAAUUUUCGACUAAGUGUCUAUGGGGCCUUGGGCAUCUUGCAAGGUGUGGCAGUAUUUGGCUAUUCCAUGGCUGUGUCCAUUGGGGGCAUCUUUGCCUCCCGUCGCCUGCACCUAGACCUGCUACAGAAUGUCCUGCGAUCACCCAUGAGUUUCUUUGAGCGUACACCCAGUGGGAACCUAGUGAACCGAUUCUCCAAGGAGUUGGACACAGUGGACUCCAUGAUCCCGCAGGUCAUCAAGAUGUUCAUGGGUUCACUCUUCAGUGUCAUUGGAGCUGUCAUCAUCAUCCUACUGGCUACACCCAUUGCCGCAGUCAUCAUCCCACCCUUGGGUCUGGUUUACUUCUUUGUGCAGAGGAAUCUAGAUUGGGCACCUUGUGGCACAUUGAAGGCCCCUGGGUCUCUGUCAUCUACCGCCACUGCAGGAUCUAUGUCUCGCUCCAAGGGGGCUGUCAAAGAGUCCCAACCCAGUACCAGGCCUCACCUGAAGGAUGAUGGUGAUUAAGGACCACAGUAUGGUGCAGCCCCACAUGGGUGACGGAGACCCUCUUACAGAGACCAUCCUCGGUUGCCAACUGAAGCUGCAGCAAGUUCCAGCCAAGGAGGAUUUCCUGGCCUCUGUCCUGCCCACAAUGCCCACCUGCCAGAUAAUAGGAGGGUGAAAGGCCCACACCAAGCUGGUCUGCUCCAGUCUCUAGAGUUCAUAGAUAUAAAAGGUUUUUUCUUCUUUUUUCUGCCGGAGACUUAUCCCUCUUCUCACCAUUCUUUAACCCUGGCCCCUUCAACACAACCAUCCAUCAGUCUAUUCCACCUUCUAUCUGGGCAUUCUCUAGCUUCUCCUCCACCAGGCAUUUUUGCCUCUUGCCUUUGCUCUAUGCUCUAGCCUCCUCCUCAAUCACUCUCUAUCCUUCUAGGCAUACUUUUCAAUUACUCCACACCCCAUUUAAUUCGUGACUCCUCCUUCAUGCUCUUAUCCUUUCUUGUACCCAUUCAUCAAGUCAUCAAUUUUCUUCAUGCACUCCAAAUCUUUCUUUCUAGUCAUUCCACACCAUAUCCAUUCAUCUUGUUCUUUCCUAUGCCCUAGCUUCCCUCAUAUAUUCCUCACCCAUCGUUCUAUGCAGCCCAACAUGCCCCUUAUUAGAAGACAUCAAGGGAAAUGAAGGCCAGUUAGGGGAAGCCACCCACAGAGGCAAAUCUGGGCAGAAGAGAAUCCCAGUCAGUGACUGCUAGCUGGGAAGCUCAGAAACCGAGGUAGGAGCCUUGACUUGGAUCCAGGUGCUCACAAGUGUGUAUUGGGAAAACACUCACCUCCCUCUGUAUAUCUUUAGGGACAUACCCUGCACAACCAGUGGCAAUUCUGGUGAGUGUCCCAGGCCAAAGUCCUAGAACUAGACCUUUUCCCCAUAAGGCUAUGGAGGCUGGGCUACAUAGAUGGACCAUCUCCAUGGGGCCUGGGGUAGGUGGGCAUGGAUAAGAGAAGCUGUCCCCCCAAACUCCUCAACAGUGCCUUGCCUCUCAGAGCCUCAAGCUUCUGAAAUAUACUAAAACAGCAAAACAGUAUACAAGAAUGUAAUAGUAUAAAGCACACCUGGCACUACAACAAAGCACAUGGAUUUACUGGUACAGAGUACACGCAGAUGCAAUAAUAGAGCACUACUCACUGGUAUAUUAGUACAGAAGUGCACAUGAUUGAGCCAGUGUAUUGUACUACUACAGAUAUGUUCAUGUAUGUACUAAUAAAGAAGUAUGCAUGGGUUUACUAGUAGAGAAGUACUUAUGGAUGUAGUUGCACAACUUUAUACAUGGAUAAACUAUUAUACCCAAAUACACAGGUGCAGUAUUACAGAAGUAGAUAUUACCAUACCAUAUAGGGACAUUUGGGAGUACUAGUAAACAAACACCCAAGGAAGUCCUAGGCAGGAGUUACACAUAGAUAUAUGCCCGGAGAACUGCACUUGGAUGCAUUAGUAUAACACCACACACUUAUCUCUUACUAAAGCACUGCACAUUAGUGUCUUAGCAAAACUAGAAGUGCUACUGCCAUUAUUACAGAAGUACACAGUAAUAUCAGUGUAGAGCACUCUACAUCCUCACUAUGUUUAAGACUGUAUGAAGACAUUCAUGUGUAGUGCUAUAAGUACAAUCGUGUCUACUGCUUUCUAGUACAUCCAUGAACAGUGCUGUUCCAGUAUGUUUGCAUGUACUUCAGGAGUAUCAGUGUUUGCUUCUGUACCAGUACACCCAUGUGCACAGCUGUAGUAGUUUAUCUUUCUUAUCUCUGUGCUCUUGUCUAAUACUUACUUGUGAAAUGACCAAGGGAAGUGGGGGAAAGAAAAGAGGGAGAUAGCUUGGAUAGACAGAGAGGAGGGAGUAUGAGGUGAGAAACCUGAGAUAUGAGAGUGAAGUAUAUGAAAGAAGGCACACAGGAGAGAGAGGGGAGUGUGAGAGAGGGAGAAAGAGAAGUGAGAGGAGAGAGAAGAGAAAGAGAAGAGAAAAUAAAAGAGGAGAGAAGGCAGGGAGAAAGUGAAAACAGAAAGAUUGUGGAGUGAGGAGAGAAAUGAGGGAAA